This 771-nucleotide ribosomal RNA is filed under the name uncultured bacterium. Its description in RNAcentral is "bacterial SSU rRNA". It matches the Rfam family "Bacterial small subunit ribosomal RNA", at positions 8 to 796 of the family's 1533-position model. The record is from RNAcentral.
AGAGUUUGAUCCUGGCUCAGGACGAACGCUGGCGGCGUGCUUAACACAUGCAAGUCGAACGGAAAGGCCCUUCGGGGUACUCGAGUGGCGAACGGGUGAGUAACACGUGGGUGAUCUGCCCUGCACUCUGGGAUAAGCCUGGGAAACUGGGUCUAAUACCGGAUAGGACCACACACUUCAUGGUGAGUGGUGCAAAGCUUUUGCGGUGUGGGAUGAGCCCGCGGCCUAUCAGCUUGUUGGUGGGGUAAUGGCCCACCAAGGCGACGACGGGUAGCCGGCCUGAGAGGGUGACCGGCCACACUGGGACUGAGAUACGGCCCAGACUCCUACGGGAGGCAGCAGUGGGGAAUAUUGCACAAUGGGCGCAAGCCUGAUGCAGCGACGCCGCGUGAGGGAUGACGGCCUUCGGGUUGUAAACCUCUUUCAGUAGGGACGAAGCGAAAGUGACGGUACCUACAGAAGAAGGACCGGCCAACUACGUGCCAGCAGCCGCGGUAAUACGUAGGGUCCGAGCGUUGUCCGGAAUUACUGGGCGUAAAGAGCUCGUAGGUGGUUUGUCGCGUUGUUCGUGAAAACUCACAGCUUAACUGUGGGCGUGCGGGCGAUACGGGCAGACCAGAGUACUGCAGGGGAGACUGGAAUUCCUGGUGUAGCGGUGGAAUGCGCAGAUAUCAGGAGGAACACCGGUGGCGAAGGCGGGUCUCUGGGCAGUAACUGACGCUGAGGAGCGAAAGCGUGGGUAGCGAACAGGAUUAGAUACCCUGGUAGUCC